Molecule: ribosomal RNA, 386 nt
Filed under: uncultured bacterium
Lineage: Bacteria
Description: bacterial SSU rRNA
Rfam family: Bacterial small subunit ribosomal RNA
Source: RNAcentral
GACGAACGCUGGCGGCGCGCUUAACACAUGCAAGUCGAACGUGAAGCCCGGGCUUGCCCGGGUGGAAAGUGGCGAACAGGUGCGUAACACGUGAGCAACCUGCCCCGAAGACCGGGAUAACAGCGGGAAACCGCUGCUAAUACCGGAUGCCCUCAUCAUGUCGCAUGGCGAGAUGAGGAAAUGGAUUCCGCUUCGGGAUGGGCUCGCGGUCUAUCAGCUUGUUGGGAGGUAAUGGCUCACCAAGGCUACGACGGAUAGCUGGUCUGAGAGGAUGUCCAGCCACACUGGGACUGAGACACGGCCCAGACUCCUACGGGAGGCAGCAGUGGGGAAUCUUGCGCAAUGGGCGAAAGCCUGACGCAGCGAUGCCGCGUGAGGGAAGAAGG